GGAGGCUCACCAACUCUGAAUAUCUAUAAAUGAUCUACGGCUUAGCGGGACCUUGAGAUUGAACCUCAGAUCCUAAAAUAUAAGGGGUCAAUAAAAAAUGUACCGGUAUGUGAAACAAUCCAAAAUAGCAUUUUUAUUACACAACAUAGAUUAGAACAUUUUGUAAAACAUUACAUAUAAGACAAGUAAAACACAUGAACAUAAUUUAUAAUUUCAAAUGCUUUCUUGCAAUCAUGACUCAACACUUUGUUAUUCUUCUGAGCUAGUUGGUAUACCCUACAAAAUUUGAAAUUC
RNAcentral lists this long non-coding RNA (294 nucleotides) under Capsicum annuum. RNAcentral describes it as "long non-coding RNA (CANN_LNC021163)". The record is from RNAcentral. Lineage: Eukaryota; Viridiplantae; Streptophyta; Magnoliopsida; Solanales; Solanaceae.